RNAcentral lists this ribosomal RNA (253 nucleotides) under uncultured bacterium. RNAcentral's name for it is "partial 16S ribosomal RNA". It matches the Rfam family "Bacterial small subunit ribosomal RNA", at positions 524 to 776 of the family's 1533-position model. The record is from RNAcentral.
UACGGAGGGCGCAAGCGUUGUUCGGAAUUACUGGGAGUAAAGCGCGUGUAGGUGGCCUGAAAAGGCGGGUGUGAAAUCCCGGAGCUCAACUCCGGAACUGCAUCCGAUACUGGCAGGCUCGAGUCUCGGAGAGGAUGGCGGAAUUUCCGGUGUAGAGGUGAAAUUCGUAGAUAUCGGAAGGAACACCAGUGGCGAAGGCGGCCGUCUGGACGAUGACUGACACUGAGACGCGAAAGCGUGGGGAGCAAACAGG